This 491-nucleotide ribosomal RNA is filed under the name uncultured bacterium. Its description in RNAcentral is "partial 16S ribosomal RNA". It matches the Rfam family "Bacterial small subunit ribosomal RNA", at positions 29 to 507 of the family's 1533-position model. The record is from RNAcentral.
GUGAACGCUGGCGGUAGGCCUAACACCUGCAAGUCGCACGGCAGCACAGUAAGAGCUUGCUCUUCCGGGUGGCGAGUGGCGGACGGGUGAGGAAUACAUCGGAAUCUACUUUUUCGUGGGGGAUAACGUAGGGAAACUUACGCUAAUACCGCAUACGACCUACGGGUGAAAGCAGGGGAUCUUCGGACCUUGCGCGAUUGAAUGAGCCGAUGUCGGAUUAGCUAGUUGGCGGGGUAAAGGCCCACCAAGGCGACGAUCCGUAGCUGGUCUGAGAGGAUGAUCAGCCAAACGGGAACUGAAACACGGCCCAGACUCCUACGGGAGGCAGCAGGGGGAAAUAUUGGACAAUGGGCGAAAGCCUGACCCAGCCAUACCGCGUGGGAGAAGAAGGCGUUGGGGUUUUAAGGCCUUUUGGUGGGGAAAAAAAAGAAGCAGGUUAAUACCCCGCUGUCCGGAGGGUACCCAAAGAAUAAGCACCGGCUAACUUCGUG